Molecule: ribosomal RNA, 253 nt
Filed under: uncultured bacterium
Lineage: Bacteria
Description: partial 16S ribosomal RNA
Rfam family: Bacterial small subunit ribosomal RNA
Source: RNAcentral
UACGUAGGGGGCGAGCGUUGUCCGGAAUUACUGGGCGUAAAGCGCGCGCAGGCGGUCGGCCAAGUCCGGCGUGAAAGCUCCCGGCUUAACUGGGAAGGGUCGCUGGAAACGGGUCGACUGGAGGACGGGAGAGGAGCGUGGAAUUCCCGGUGUAGUGGUGAAAUGCGUAGAGAUCGGGAGGAACACCAGUGGCGAAAGCGGCGCUCUGGCCCGCCCCUGACGCUGAGGCGCGAAAGCGUGGGGAGCAAACGGG